RNAcentral lists this ribosomal RNA (355 nucleotides) under Allorhogas sp. CNIN 785. RNAcentral's name for it is "Allorhogas sp. CNIN785 partial 16S ribosomal RNA". Lineage: Eukaryota; Metazoa; Arthropoda; Insecta; Hymenoptera; Braconidae. The record is from RNAcentral.
UUUUAAGUCCAAUCUGCCCAAUGAUAAUUUAAAUGGCUGCAGUAUAUAUAACUGUACUAAGGUAGCAUAAUAAUUUGUUUUCUAAUUAAAAACUAGAAUGAAAGAUUUAAUGAGAUAUAUACUUUAUUAAUUUUAAUAAUUUAAAUUAUUAUUUAAGUAAAAAAACUUAAAUAAAUUUUAUAGACAAUAAGACCCUAUAAAAUUUUAUUUUUUUAAAAAUAAAUAUUUUUAAAAAAAUUUAAUUGGGGUAAUUAAAAAAUUAUAUAAACUUUUUUAAAUUAUUACAUAAAUAUAUGAAUAAAUUUUCUUAAAAUUUAAAUUAUUAAAAUUAAUUACUUUAGGGAUAACAGCAUAA